Molecule: non-coding RNA, 221 nt
Filed under: Providencia rustigianii
Lineage: Bacteria; Pseudomonadati; Pseudomonadota; Gammaproteobacteria; Enterobacterales; Morganellaceae
Source: RNAcentral
ACAUAAUCAAACCUGGCACUGCUGCGGCCAAUGCCCAUCCACCCCAACUUAAAUGGAUGCCCAUAAUAUCGGUCAUCAUUGCCAGUGCCAGUGCAUUUGGUGCCAUGGCUGUUAAGAACAUAUAGCUGGUGGUUUUGGUCACCAUAUACACGUUCACUAGCAAAUAGUGACCGGCUUUACGCGGGCUUUUUUCUGGAUCUGAACCGAGUGCCACCGCCACA